UACGGUUACCUUGUUACGACUUCACCCCAGUCAUGAAUCACAAAGUGGUAAGCGCCCUCCCGAAGGUUAAGCUACCUACUUCUUUUGCAACCCACUCCCAUGGUGUGACGGGCGGUGUGUACAAGGCCCGGGAACGUAUUCACCGCAACAUUCUGAUUUGCGAUUACUAGCGAUUCCAGCUUCACGCAGUCGAGUUGCAGACUGCGAUCCGAACUGAGGUCGGUUUUUUGGGAUUAGCUCCUUCUCGCGAGAUUGCCUCCCUUUGUACCGACCAUUGUAGCACGUGUGUAGCCCUGGAUAUAAAGGCCAUGAUGACUUGACGUCGUCCCCACCUUCCUCCCGUUUAACACGGGCGGUCUCCGUAGAGUGCCACAGCAUAACCCGGGGGCAACUACGGAUAGGGGUUGCGCUCGUUGUGGGACUUAACCCAACACCUCACGGCACGAGCUGACGACAGCCAUGCAGCACCUGUCUUGGCGCUCCCUUGCGGGCACUGGCCUGUUUCCAGACCAUUCGCCAGAUGUCAAACCCAGGUAAGGUUCUUCGCGUAGCAUCGAAUUGAACCACAUGCUCCACCGCUUGUGCGGGCCCCGUCAAUUC
This 600-nucleotide ribosomal RNA is filed under the name uncultured bacterium. RNAcentral's name for it is "partial 16S ribosomal RNA". The record is from RNAcentral.